Molecule: long non-coding RNA, 420 nt
Organism: Neofelis nebulosa (Clouded leopard)
Lineage: Eukaryota; Metazoa; Chordata; Mammalia; Carnivora; Felidae
Exons: 2
Source: RefSeq, a predicted model, not a curated record
CCCUAUUCCUGGGCAGGUGGUCUCCUUCCGGCAACGACGAGUCUCCUGUGGUUACAUUGGGCCCUCCCGGAUAAUCCAGGACAAUCUCCCCAUCUCGAGAUCCUUAACUUAAUCACAUCUGCAAAGUCCCUUUUUCCCCGUGAACUCAUCUAUUCACAGAUUCCAGGAAUUAUAACGUGGACAUUUCUGGGGACCAUUAUUCUGCCUACCAUACACGCACCUCUUUCCAGGCAUCUUUUUCUCUAUCUAGUAUCACAGUAUUUAAAUACGUCGUAAGUCAGAAUGAUUUGCAAAUCCUCCCCCCUCUCCCAUGUAAGGAGAAAAGAUACGUGGCAUGAUAAUAACACCUACCAGACCUGACAGCAAUAAUGAGAAUAACGGUUCACAUUUAUUCAGUUAUUAAACCAGUGUUCUAUGCAA